Molecule: ribosomal RNA, 564 nt
Filed under: Curvularia sp. SZMC 13062
Lineage: Eukaryota; Fungi; Ascomycota; Dothideomycetes; Pleosporales; Pleosporaceae
Description: eukaryotic LSU rRNA
Rfam family: 5.8S ribosomal RNA (bases 192-345)
Source: RNAcentral
CGUAGGGUGAACCUGCGGAGGGAUCAUUACACAAUAAAAUACGAAGGCCGUUCGCGGCUGGACUAUUUAUUACCCUUGUCUUUUGCGCACUUGUUGUUUCCUGGGCGGGUUCGCUCGCCACCAGGACCACAAUAUAAACCUUUUUUAUGCAGUUGCAAUCAGCGUCAGUAUAACAAAUGUAAAUCAUUUACAACUUUCAACAACGGAUCUCUUGGUUCUGGCAUCGAUGAAGAACGCAGCGAAAUGCGAUACGUAGUGUGAAUUGCAGAAUUCAGUGAAUCAUCGAAUCUUUGAACGCACAUUGCGCCCUUUGGUAUUCCAAAGGGCAUGCCUGUUCGAGCGUCAUUUGUACCCUCAAGCUUUGCUUGGUGUUGGGCGUUUUUGUCUUUGGCCCGCCAAAGACUCGCCUUAAAAUGAUUGGCAGCCGGCCUACUGGUUUCGCAGCGCAGCACAUUUUUGCGCUUGCAAUCAGCAAAAGAGGACGGCAAUCCAUCAAGACUCCUUCUCACGUUUGACCUCGGAUCAGGUAGGGAUACCCGCUGAACUUAAGCAUAUCAAUAGGCG